AGCAGCAGCCGCGGUAAUACGAAGGGUGCAAGCGUUACUCGGAAUUACUGGGCGUAAAGCGUGCGUAGGUGGUGGUUUAAGUCCGUUGUGAAAGCCCUGGGCUCAACCUGGGAAUUGCAGUGGAUACUGGGUCACUAGAGUGUGGUAGAGGAUAGUGGAAUUUCCGGUGUAGCAGUGAAAUGCGUAGAGAUCGGAAGGAACAUCUGUGGCGAAGGCGACUAUCUGGGCCAACACUGACACUGAGGCACGAAAGCGUGGGGAGCAAACAGGAUUAGAUACCCGGGUAGUCCCUGUCUCUUAUAC
Molecule: ribosomal RNA, 303 nt
Filed under: uncultured bacterium
Lineage: Bacteria
Description: partial 16S ribosomal RNA
Rfam family: Bacterial small subunit ribosomal RNA
Source: RNAcentral